AGAGUUUGAUCAUGGCUCAGGAUGAAUGCUGGCGGCGUGCUUUAUAUAUGCAAGUCGAGCGACGUGUUCCAGCUUGCUGGAAUUACGAGCGGCAGACGGGUGAGUAAUGCGUAGGAAUCUACCCUGAAGUGGGGGACAACCAGCCGAAAGGUUGGCUAAUACCGCAUGUGCCCCGAUGUAACAUCGGGGUAAAGAUUUAUCGCUUCAGGAGGAGCCUGCGUCCUAUCAGCUUGUUGGUGGGGUAAAAGCCUACCAAGGCGACGACGGGUAGCUGGUCUGAGAGGAUGGUCCGCCGCACCUGCGCUGAGACCCGGGCCCAACAUCUACGGAUGGGGGGUAGGGAAUCGUGGACAAUGGGCGAAAAUGUGAUCGGCUAAACCGCUUGCUGGAUUGUAAGUCCUUCGGGUUGUAAACUCCUUUUAUCUGGGAAGAUUAUGACGGUACCAGAUGAAUAAGCACCUGCUAACUACGUGCCAGAAGCCUCGGUAAGACGUAGGGUGCAAGCGUUAUCCGGAUUUACUGGGCGUAAAGUGUUGCGUAGGCGGUCCGAUGCAUUUUGUUUUAAAGCCUAUGGCUUAACCAUAGUUUCGGACAAAAUAUGAUCGGACUGGAAGAAUAGAGGGGGUACUGGAACUUGUCGUGUAGCAGUGAAAUGCGUUGAUAUGACAAGGAACACCAAAGGCGUAGGCAGGUACCUGGCUAUUUCUUGACGCUGAGGCACGAAAGCUUGGGGAGCGAAGCAGAUUAGAGACCUGCGUAGUCCAAGCCGUAAACGAUGGAUGCUAGAUAUCCGACUUUUGUUGGGUGUCGUAAGCUAACGCGUUAAGCAUCCCGCCUGGGGAGUACGAGCGCAAGCUUAAAACUCAAAGGAAUUGACGGGGAGGCGCACAAGCAGUGGAGCAUGUGGUUUAAUUCGAGACAAAGCGAAAAACCUCACCAGGACUUGACAUGCAGAUGCAAAUCCGCCGAAAGGCGGACUCCUUCGAGGGUUCUGCACAGAUGCUGCAUGGCUGUCGUCAGCUCGUGGCGUGAGCUGUACCCUUAAGUGGGAUAACGAGCGCAACCCGCACUAUAUGUUAAAUAAUUCAUAUGGAACUGCCCCUUUAUUUGGGGAGGAAGGCGCGGAUGACGUCAAGUCAGCACGGCUCUUACGUCCUGGGCUACACACAUCCUACAAUGGUGAAUAACAACGAGUUGCAAGCUGGCAACAGCAAGCUAAUCUCUAAAAUUUCAUCUCAGUUCGGAUUGGGGUCUGCAAUUCGACCCCAUGAAGUCGGAAUUGCUAGUAAUCGCAAAUCAGCAGGUUGCGGUGAAUACGUUCUCGCCUCUUGUACACACCGCCCGUC
This 1346-nucleotide ribosomal RNA is filed under the name uncultured bacterium. Its description in RNAcentral is "bacterial SSU rRNA". It matches the Rfam family "Bacterial small subunit ribosomal RNA". The record is from RNAcentral.